AAUAUUGGACAAUGGGCGAAAGCCUGAUCCAGCCAUUCCGCGUGUGUGAAGAAGGNUUNNGGAUUNUNAAGCACUUUAAGUUGNNNNNAAGGGCUUUAGGUUAAUACCCUGAAGUUUUGGCGUUACCAACUGCAUAAGCAUCUGCUAACUCUGUUCCAGCGGCCGCGGUAAUACAGAGGGUGCAAGCGUUAAUCGGAAUUACUGGGCGUAAAGGCAGCGGAGGUGGUUCAGUAAGGUAGGUGUUGAAUCGCCGGGCUUAACCUGGGAACUGCUUUCAAAACUGCGGAGCUAGAGUACGGUAGAGGGUAGUGGAAUUUCCUGUGGAGCGGUGAAAUGCGUAGGUAUAGGAAGGAACACCAGUGGAGAAGGCGACUACCUGGACUGAUACUGACACUGAGGUGCGAAAGCGUGGGGAGCAAAC
Molecule: ribosomal RNA, 421 nt
Filed under: uncultured bacterium
Lineage: Bacteria
Description: partial 16S ribosomal RNA
Rfam family: Bacterial small subunit ribosomal RNA
Source: RNAcentral